AUCUUGGCUGUUAUAAGAUUUUUCUUAAGGCCGCCCUUCGCGUCUCGACACAAAUAUUUUCCAUCUUCGCAACUCAAUUUAUUCGGAAAUUAAUUUAAUUAAGCUCCAAGCUUAAUUCCUUAAAUUAAUUCCUAUUCAAAAAAAAUUUAAAUCUCCAAGUCUACUAAUUUAAUUCGAUAGGCCCAACUGCCAAAUUUAAUUCAUUCUCGACCCACUUCUUUAAUUUUACUUGACCCAAUUACUACUUCCAUAGGCCCAAGCAAAAAAAUAUAGAGUGAGCCCAAAUUACUCCCUCUCCCUACCGUGACUCUCUCUCUCUCCAUCUUAUUUCAUUUUCUUUUUUUUUUCACUUCUGAUUCGAAUCCCUAAUUGGAUUCCCAGGCAGCGACGCCUCCUCUCCAUUCUCGCCCUCUUCGGCGAGUUCGUCGCCGUUCUGGCACCGCCGGAGCUCGUCUCCUCCCUUGGUCAAACACCCUUCCACCUCCACUCAAAUUUAUUUUUAUUUUCUUUUCCCCAUUUUUCUACAACCAGCGUCUCUCUCCCCUCUGAUAUACACGAGGUGACGAGGGUCUUCAAGAAAUACGGCGGCGGCACCCUUCCUCCGGCGAAUCUCAUCCCUUUUUCCGGCGCCUUCUCUCUCUCUACGGCGGUUGCUGAUUUGGGGAGGGCGUCGCCUCUCCUUUCCCCUACUCGAUGAAAUAUCGCCUUGACGGACGCCGAAGCUCCGUCGGCCUUCUCCCGUCGGGUUACCCCUGCGGCGGCCGAACCACCUCUAUCGGGCUCUCCGUUCCAGCGGCGAUACCUCACCGGGUCAGUGGCCUCCGUCGCCCUCCUCGUCGGCUCUCUGGGGCCCUGUCAUCGAAGCUAAGUCUCCUCCCUUUAUCCCCCUUAAAUUCCAUUAAUUAAGCAGUGGCUAUGUGUUCUUUGUUCAUUAAUUAACUGCUCUCGUGGGGGUCGUUUAAGAAAGCUCGGGAGAAGCUUGAUUUGCCCUCUUCUGCCGCUGCCUCACGCUGCCAAUUCCUCCCUCCGUCGCCUCUGUUAUCCGAGAGCCUUGGGGUCGAGAGAAAGUGUAGAUGGGAGGGGGGUGACGGUGGUAUUUAUAGGCAGUUCCUUGGCCUCUCAUGGCAGCAACUUGGGCAUUGAUGGUUCCAUUUUCGGCUACAGGCUUAGCUCUCUUUCUGAGCUUCAUGAUCAUGUUGAACAUGCUAUUUUGGUGAUUGUUUUGGUUGCUUCCUCUGGGCUGUUACCUCAGCCUCGGAUGAUCGGAAAAGAUGGCUCUAAGUCAGUUUAUUUUGAGCAUAUACCUUGGGCCCUUUUUACCAUGCUCAUUUGUUCUAACUUACACUUUGGUGUAAGGUCUAGGGCUGCCACUUAUUUUGGAGUUUUGGGGCUGGAAAAAUGAGAAAUUGUGGAGGGUGACAAGAGAGGAAUCUAUUACCUCAUUCACUUUGUCUUAUUGCUAGGUUUAGAAAUUUUUUAAACAUUAGGCUUGGCAUAGCUCUUGACCAAGUCCCAAUUUAGCCACUAGCUUGAUGUUGGCUCCUCCCCAGGGUAGUGUAGGAUUUGUUUGUCCUCAAGGUGUGGGAAACGAGGCAUGUACUAUUCUUAUGUAAUUUUUCUACAAUCAUAAAUAGGUAUUUCUUUCAUUCUUAUCAUUGAAAUAAGAAUUUUUUUUCACUUAAA
Long non-coding RNA from Salvia splendens (bonfire salvia), 1683 nucleotides. RefSeq lists it as uncharacterized. NCBI's taxonomy places the organism in Eukaryota, Viridiplantae, Streptophyta, Magnoliopsida, Lamiales, Lamiaceae. The record is from RefSeq and is a predicted model, not a curated record. The transcript has 2 exons.